RNAcentral lists this ribosomal RNA (770 nucleotides) under uncultured bacterium. Its description in RNAcentral is "bacterial SSU rRNA". It matches the Rfam family "Bacterial small subunit ribosomal RNA", at positions 8 to 796 of the family's 1533-position model. The record is from RNAcentral.
AGAGUUUGAUCAUGGCUCAGGACGAACGCUGGCGGCGUGCUUAACACAUGCAAGUCGAGCGGAAAGGCCCUUCGGGGUACUCGAGCGGCGAACGGGUGAGUAACACGUGAGCAACCUGCCCUUAGCUCUGGGAUAGCUCCGGGAAACCGGAAUUAAUACCGGAUAUGACCACGGCCGACAUCGGCUGUGGUGGAAAGGAUUCCGGCUAAGGAUGGGCUCGCGGCCUAUCAGCUUGUUGGUGAGGUAACGGCUCACCAAGGCGACGACGGGUAGCCGGCCUGAGAGGGCGACCGGCCACACUGGGACUGAGACACGGCCCAGACUCCUACGGGAGGCAGCAGUGGGGAAUAUUGCGCAAUGGGCGAAAGCCUGACGCAGCGACGCCGCGUGGGGGAUGAAGGCCUUCGGGUUGUAAACCCCUUUCAGCAGGGACGAAGCGCAAGUGACGGUACCUGCAGAAGAAGCGCCGGCUAACUACGUGCCAGCAGCCGCGGUAAUACGUAGGGCGCAAGCGUUGUCCGGAAUUAUUGGGCGUAAAGAGCUCGUAGGCGGUCUGUUGCGUCCGCUGUGAAAACCCAGGGCUUAACCCUGGGCUUGCAGUGGAUACGGGCAGACUAGAGGCAGGUAGGGGAGAAUGGAAUUCCCGGUGUAGCGGUGAAAUGCGCAGAUAUCGGGAGGAACACCGGUGGCGAAGGCGGUUCUCUGGGCCUGACCUGACGCUGAGGAGCGAAAGCGUGGGGAGCGAACAGGAUUAGAUACCCUCGUAGUCC